CCUACGGGGGGCAGCAGUGAGGAAUAUUGGUCAAUGGGCGCGAGCCUGAACCAGCCAAGUCGCGUGAGGGAUGACGGUCCUACGGAUUGUAAACCUCUUUUGCCGGGGAGCAAGCGUGCGUUCGUGAACGCGCGUCGAGAGUACCCGGAGAAAAAGCAUCGGCUAACUCCGUGCCAGCACCCGCGGUAAUACGGAGGAUGCGAGCGUUAUCCGGAUUUAUUGGGUUUAAAGGGUGCGUAGGCGGGAUGCAAAGUCAACGGUAAAAAUGCGGUGCUCAACUCCGUCGGGCCGUUGAAACUGGCGUUCUUGAGUGGGCGAGAAGUAUGCGGAAUGCGUGAUGUAGCGGUGAAAUGCUUAGAUAUCACGAAGAACCCCGAUUGCGAAGGCAGCUUACUAAACUGUGACUGACAUUGAUGCUCGAAAGUGUGGGUAUCAAACAGGAUUAGAUACCCCUGUAGUC
This 460-nucleotide ribosomal RNA is filed under the name uncultured bacterium. Its description in RNAcentral is "partial 16S ribosomal RNA". It matches the Rfam family "Bacterial small subunit ribosomal RNA", at positions 338 to 795 of the family's 1533-position model. The record is from RNAcentral.